RNAcentral lists this long non-coding RNA (1699 nucleotides) under Homo sapiens (human). Its description in RNAcentral is "HSALNT0131792". The record is from RNAcentral. Lineage: Eukaryota; Metazoa; Chordata; Mammalia; Primates; Hominidae.
GUUAGGGGUUAGGGUUAGGGUUAGGAUUAGGGGUGAGAGUUAGGGUUACGGUACUGUAAAUAAUUUCACAUUAUUACUAAUAAUAAAUUAUUAUUUGUAUUACACUGUUACGUAAUGUAAACGCUAUUAAGACAUGUUUUUCUUCAAAGAAUGGCCUUGGUUUCUGUGGGCUGUGCCUCGUCAUGGAAGGGUAAUGCAUUCCUGCUAAAUCAUGGACAAAACGGGCUUCCAGGAGCUACAGGCCCCUGCAGCAGCAGCUUCUCCUCUACGUCCUUCACUGCCUCAAACUGUUGUUGACUUUGAAAGCUUCUUUCAGUCUAGUUUUAUCAACAGAGCUAGUAUUUCAUGAGGUUCUACUACAUACCAGGUUCCAGAAAGCUAAAUGCCUUUUGUUAUUAUUCACUAAAUACAAAUCACAACUCUCUCCUCAUUACUCACACAACAAAAUUUAGCUGAGGGAGAUUGAGUGACUUUCCCAGGGUCACAUAGCUACUAAGAGCAGAGUCGUGUUUAGAUUCAUGUGGGAAUAUUGAACACAGAAAUGAACCAGUGGAAACAUCCUAUGUUCCAAAAGCCUACUCAAGGCAUUUCUUCUUAUUUUAAGGAAAAUCUUUAUGCUAAUUUUAAACUCCAAAUACUUAUGAAUGGCAGAGAUCUACAGAUUUGAUUCUGAUGUAAGAAAUGAUGGUCACCAGCUGGUUACUGCUACCACCCCACAACCCCGAGCAUACUGGACGAAUGUCUAAGCCUUGUGGUUAGUGGGGACAAUGCUGGUGGAGUCUGAAGUUGUCAUGCAGUGACUCAUGCAAGCUUAGGCAGAUUUGGUAAUAUAUGACACAGAGAUGCAAAGAAAUGUUGUAGCUGACACACACAGGCUGGCUCUGGGAGAUGCAGAAGGAGCACGUCACCCAAAAUAGAGCCAGACAAGACAUCCUUAAGGAAGGAGCAAAAGGGCUGCAUCUUAAAGAAUGUAGAAAGGAUUUGUCAUGAGAGAUGGGGCAGGAAGUUCUUGAGAGGCAGAGGGAGAGCAUGAGAAUGUUAGGAAGGGAGGAGAGAUUCUCACACAUCUGGGAAGCUGACAAUCCAUCAGCAUGGCCAGAAGGAAAAUAAGGAGGAGGAGCAGAAAUAGAUGAGGCUGGAUAUAGAAGCAGGGCUGAAGCUGUGUCGAUUGUGGUAAAGAGUUGUGAUUCUAUCCAGAACGCAAUAGGUAGCAUUCUAAACAGAGAUCUUUUCAAACAAGAGUCAGCAAGUAUUUUCUGCAGGAGGCUAAAUGUUAAAUAUUUUAAGUUUUCCAAGCCAUAUGGUCUCUCUCUCAAUGACUCAGCUCUUCCAUUAUACCAUGAAAGUAGCCAGAGACAUUAUGUAACACAUGUAUUGGCUGUGUCCUAUUACAACUUUACUUACAAACGCAGACUGUGUCAGACAUGGUCCAUGCAUGGUAGUUUGCCACACCCUGUUUUAGAAAGCUCAGGUUUAUGAUGUGAUGGAGAAUGCCUACAAGAGCUCUUGUUUUAAAUGGUAGAGUGAACACUGGAAUUCUAUCCUGCUUGACCCAAGCUCUUGAUAGCGAAAGGUAGAAAAGAUAGAUAGUAAAUAGAUAGAUAGAUGAUAGGCAGGUAGAUAGAUAGAUGAUAGAUAAAGAAAAUACAUAGCUGUUCCAGAAAACAGAAAUGGAUAAUUUCAUGAACCAAAAGCAGAG